GAUGAACGCUGGCGGCGUGCCUAAUACAUGCAAGUCGAGCGAACAGACGAGGAGCUUGCUCCUCUGACGUUAGCGGCGGACGGGUGAGUAACACGUGGAUAACCUACCUAUAAGACUGGGAUAACUUCGGGAAACCGGAGCUAAUACCGGAUAAUAUAUUGAACCGCAUGGUUCAAUAGUGAAAGACGGUUUUGCUGUCACUUAUAGAUGGAUCCGCGCCGCAUUAGCUAGUUGGUAAGGUAACGGCUUACCAAGGCAACGAUGCGUAGCCGACCUGAGAGGGUGAUCGGCCACACUGGAACUGAGACACGGUCCAGACUCCUACGGGAGGCAGCAGUAGGGAAUCUUCCGCAAUGGGCGAAAGCUUGACGGAGCAACGCCGCGCGAGUGAUGAAGGUCUUCGGAUCGUAAAACUCUGUUAUUAGGGAAGAACAAAUGUGUAAGUAACUAUGCACGUCUUGACGGUACCUAAUCAGAAAGCCACGGCUAACUACGUG
RNAcentral lists this ribosomal RNA (497 nucleotides) under uncultured bacterium. RNAcentral describes it as "partial 16S ribosomal RNA". It matches the Rfam family "Bacterial small subunit ribosomal RNA", at positions 28 to 507 of the family's 1533-position model. The record is from RNAcentral.